CCUACGGGAGGCAGCAGUGAGGAAUAUUGGUCAAUGGACGAGAGUCUGAACCAGCCAAGUAGCGUGAAGGAUGACUGCCCUAUGGGUUGUAAACUUCUUUUAUAUGGGAAUAAAAUGUUCCACGUGUGGGCUUUUGUAUGUACCAUAUGAAUAAGGAUCGGCUAACUCCGUGCCAGCAGCCGCGGUAAUACGGAGGAUCCGAGCGUUAUCCGGAUUUAUUGGGUUUAAAGGGAGCGUAGGUGGAUUGUUAAGUCAGUUGUGAAAGUUUGCGGCUCAACCGUAAAAUUGCAGUUGAAACUGGCAGUCUUGAGUGCAGGAGAGGUGGGCGGAAUGCGUGGUGUAGCGGUGAAAUGCUUAGAUAUCACGAAGAACUCCGAUUGCGAAGGCAGCUCACUGGUCUGCAACUGACACUGAGGCUCGAAAGUGUGGGUAUCAAACAGGAUUAGAUACCCCAGUAGUC
This 460-nucleotide ribosomal RNA is filed under the name uncultured bacterium. Its description in RNAcentral is "partial 16S ribosomal RNA". It matches the Rfam family "Bacterial small subunit ribosomal RNA", at positions 338 to 795 of the family's 1533-position model. The record is from RNAcentral.